UGCAGUCGACGAUGACCACUUCGGUGGGGAUUAGUGGCGAACGGGUGAGUAACACGUGGGCAAUCUGCCCUUCACUCUGGGACAAGCCCUGGAAACGGGGUCUAAUACCGGAUACCACUACCGCAGGCAUCUGUGGUGGUUGAAAGCUCCGGCGGUGAAGGAUGAGCCCGCGGCCUAUCAGCUUGUUGGUGAGGUAAUGGCUCACCAAGGCGACGACGGGUAGCCGGCCUGAGAGGGCGACCGGCCACACUGGGACUGAGACACGGCCCAGACUCCUACGGGAGGCAGCAGUGGGGAAUAUUGCACAAUGGGCGAAAGCCUGAUGCAGCGACGCCGCGUGAGGGAUGACGGCCUUCGGGUUGUAAACCUCUUUCAGCAGGGAAGAAGCGAAAGUGACGGUACCUGCAGAAGAAGCGCCGGCUAACUACGUGCCAGCAGCCGCGGUAAUACGUAGGGCGCAAGCGUUGUCCGGAAUUAUUGGGCGUAAAGAGCUCGUAGGCGGCUUGUCACGUC
Molecule: ribosomal RNA, 513 nt
Filed under: Streptomyces sp. SS 75
Lineage: Bacteria; Bacillati; Actinomycetota; Actinomycetes; Kitasatosporales; Streptomycetaceae
Description: bacterial SSU rRNA
Rfam family: Bacterial small subunit ribosomal RNA
Source: RNAcentral